Molecule: long non-coding RNA, 482 nt
Organism: Sceloporus undulatus (fence lizard)
Lineage: Eukaryota; Metazoa; Chordata; Lepidosauria; Squamata; Phrynosomatidae
Exons: 3
Source: RefSeq, a predicted model, not a curated record
CGGAGAAGAUGGACACUCAACCCAUCUCGCCUUACAACCAUGCCAAUUUCAAAAGGACCUGAAGGAAGCCAGCAGUUGUUUGGAGUUUGGGGAGCCAGCAGCCAGGGAACACAGCCAAAAGCUCUUUUAGCCAAAGGUGUCACAACAGCAGCAGCGGUCAUACAUAACUCUCCACAGGAACAACCUGAAAGAAUUCCAACACAGGAAGCAAGGCCAACCAAAUGGCUGGUGUGGUACUGAGCACUGUAGUAUGGCAGCUUUCCCCAACCUGGUGCCCCCUAUAUGCCACAGGGAUCGAAACCACUACCAUCCCUGGUCAAGGAAAUUUGAGAUGCCAUAGAAGAAAAACCCACUAGAGAUCGCUGGAAUGGAAAACUUAAUUUAGACCCAUAACUGGAAGGAGAGUAAAGGCUUUUUGUUUUUUUAAUGCCAGGUUUACCUGUAGAAUAACUGGGACAAAUAAAAGAGAUUGCCUUGCUUUA